AGAGUUGAUCCUGGCUCAGAACGAACGCUGGCGGCAGGCUUAACACAUGCAAGUCGAGCGCCGUAGCAAUACGGAGCGGCAGACGGGUGAGUAACGCGUGGGAACAUACCCUCCGGUUCGGAAUAACUCAGGGAAACUUGAGCUAAUACCGGAUACGGUCGGGAGGCGAAAGAUUUAUCGCCGGAGGAUUGGCCCGCGUCCGAUUAGCUAGUUGGUGUGGUAACGGCGCACCAAGGCGACGAUCGGUAGCUGGUCUGAGAGGAUGAUCAGCCACAUUGGGACUGAGACACGGCCCAAACUCCUACGGGAGGCAGCAGUGGGGAAUAUUGGACAAUGGGCGCAAGCCUGAUCCAGCCAUGCCGCGUGAGUGAUGACGGCCUUAGGGUUGUAAAGCUCUUUCGCACGGGACGAUAAUGACGGUAGCGUGAGAAGAAGCCCCGGCUAACUUCGUGCCAGCAGCCGCGGUAAUACGAAGGGGGCUAGCGUUGUUCGGAAUUACUGGGCGUAAAGCGCGUGUAGGCGGGCUUUUA
This 530-nucleotide ribosomal RNA is filed under the name uncultured bacterium. Its description in RNAcentral is "bacterial SSU rRNA". It matches the Rfam family "Bacterial small subunit ribosomal RNA", at positions 8 to 585 of the family's 1533-position model. The record is from RNAcentral.